CCUACGGGGGGCAGCAGUGAGGAAUAUUGGUCAAUGGACGAGAGUCUGAACCAGCCAAGUAGCGUGAAGGAUGACUGCCCUAUGGGUUGUAAACUUCUUUUAUAUGGGAAUAAAACGUUCCACGUGUGGGAUUUUGUAUGUACCAUAUGAAUAAGGAUCGGCUAACUCCGUGCCAGCAGCCGCGGUAAUACGGAGGAUCCGAGCGUUAUCCGGAUUUAUUGGGUUUAAAGGGAGCGUAGGUGGAUUGUUAAGUCAGUUGUGAAAGUUUGCGGCUCAACCGUAAAAUUGCAGUUGAAACUGGCAGUCUUGAGUACAGUAGAGGUAGGCGGAAUUCGUGGUGUAGCGGUGAAAUGCUUAGAUAUCACGAAGAACUCCGAUUGCGAAGGCAGUUCACUAGACUACAACUGACACUGAGGCACGAAAGUGUGGGUAUCAAACAGGAUUAGAUACCCUGGUAGUC
This 460-nucleotide ribosomal RNA is filed under the name uncultured bacterium. RNAcentral's name for it is "partial 16S ribosomal RNA". It matches the Rfam family "Bacterial small subunit ribosomal RNA", at positions 338 to 795 of the family's 1533-position model. The record is from RNAcentral.